GAUCGCAGCCUCUCUAGGAGCAGAUUACAGGUGGAGUUUUGAUGAAACAGUGACUCAUUUCAUCUAUCAAGGGCGGCCAAAUGACACUAAUCGGGAGUAUAAAUCUGUAAAAGAAAGAGGAGUACACAUUGUUUCCGAGCACUGGCUUUUAGAUUGUGCCCAAGAGUGUAAACAUCUUCCUGAAUCUCUUUAUCCGCAUACUUAUAAUCCCAAAAUGAGCUUGGAUAUCAGUGCAGUGCAAGAUGGCCGACUCUGUAAUAGUCGACUACUCUCAGCUGUGUCUGCAACAAAGGAUGAUGAGCCAGAUCCUUUGAUUUUAGAAGAAAAUGAUGUAGACAAUAUGGCCACCAAUAAUAAAGAGUCAGCACCAUCAAAUGGAAGUGGAAAGAAUGACUCUAAAGGAGUUCUGACACAGACCUUAGAGAUGAGAGAGAACUUUCAGAAGCAGUUACAGGAGAUAAUGUCUGCAACAUCAAUAGUGAAACCCCAAGGGCAGAGGACUUCCCUUUCAAGAAGUGGUUGUAACAGCGCAUCUUCAACCCCUGACAGCAGUCGCUCUGCUCGCAGUGGACGAAGUAGAGUCCUAGAGGCACUGAGGCAGUCUCGUCAAACAGUACCUGAUGUCAACACAGAGCCUUCCCAAAAUGAACAGAUUAUUUGGGAUGACCCUACAGCAAGGGAGGAGAGAGCAAGGCUUGCCAGCAAUUUGCAGUGGCCUAGUUGUCCCACACAAUACUCUGAGCUUCAGGUUGACAUUCAAAACUUGGAGGAUUCUCCUUUUCAAAAGCCUUUACAUGAUUCAGAAAUUGCUAAACAGGGUAACAAGAAAGAAAUCUUUGCAUUUGUUUGUAUUAAGUACAUGUUGACCUCUUGAAAAUAAACAGAUGAGCAUGUUGUA
This 898-nucleotide small RNA is filed under the name Pan troglodytes (chimpanzee). RNAcentral describes it as "retained intron". Lineage: Eukaryota; Metazoa; Chordata; Mammalia; Primates; Hominidae. The record is from RNAcentral.